This is a non-coding RNA of Arachis ipaensis, 1076 nucleotides long. The record is from RefSeq and is a predicted model, not a curated record. NCBI's taxonomy places the organism in Eukaryota, Viridiplantae, Streptophyta, Magnoliopsida, Fabales, Fabaceae.
AAUCUACCCCAAAUCCUACUUUUCUACCCUAACUCACCCUCACUCUUCUCCCAGCACUGCAGCCUUUCCCCAUACCCUAACACUCAUCAACUUCAGCUUCAGACAAAAAGAAAAGAAAGAAAGAAGAAAAGAAAGGAAGAGGGAAAGAAGGAAAGGGGGAGGAAGAGAGGGAGCCCCGUGAGAGAGGGAGAGUGCCAAGGGAGGAGGAGCUGUUCGGACAACCACUGUCGUGUCACCUGCGUCGUCGCCACUGUCAGUCGUGCCACCACCCAGCCCGCUGUCGCCACUGGUCUGCCAUGGAGCCGCCAUCGAGACACAGAACCGCGCAAGGAGAAGGAGGCGAAACCGUUGCGCCACCGUUACUGUCUUUGUCACGUGUGGAGUCAUCGUCGCUGACGAGCCUGGUCGCCGCCCAGUUGCGUCGCCGUCAUGAAGUCCUCGCCGCCGUCUUUCCCUUUGCAAAUCGUUGCCAUCAUUGGAGCAGAAGGCGAGAGAGAGAGCUCGCGGUAGGGGAAAGGGGAGGUGCCGCCGUUCUGCACAAAGCUACCGCUGCCGUCGCGCGCUUCGUUGCCUCUGUUGCUAGGAGCUGCCGCCGAGAAAAUGCCUUUACAACCGCUUUAUUCCGGCAUCCUUCCUGAGCACGGGUCGAGCUCUGAGGUUUGCAUGUCGAAUUUUAGGUUGCCAUUGAACCAACGGAGUUUCUAGACACUGUCGAAGCUACCGCCGAGUCAGUUUGGGAUUGCGGGUGCUCAGUUUUGCUGUUACCAUAGGUGUACUCUAUUUCGAACCCUCAUCGUUAGUUUUCCGUUAUGUGUUUUAAUAUUUUCGUGAUAUUAAUGUUUUUAGGAAUUAAAAAUUGAGUUUUCAUGUUGCGAUUGAGGCUGUUCUGCUAUUGGGAAAGCAAGCAGAGCUGAGGUUUUGGUUGCUGUUGAUUCUGGGCUGAGAGAAAAGAGUUCAGUUGACACGUUUGGGUUAUGGUUUCACUUAUCGAGGUAGGGGCUUUUUCAGAAAACUAAACUUUAUAAUUCGGAGUUGCUAUAUGUGGAUAUUGAUGUGAGUAAUAUACUCCUAGUGAU